RNAcentral lists this ribosomal RNA (484 nucleotides) under uncultured bacterium. Its description in RNAcentral is "partial 16S ribosomal RNA". It matches the Rfam family "Bacterial small subunit ribosomal RNA", at positions 28 to 523 of the family's 1533-position model. The record is from RNAcentral.
GACGAACGCUGGCGGCGUGCUUAACACAUGCAAGUCGAACGAUGAAGCCGGAGCUUGCUCUGGUGAAUUAGUGGCGAACGGGUGAGUAACACGUGAGUAACCUGCCCUUGACCCUGGGAUAACUGCGGGAAACUGUAGCUAAUACCGGAUACGACCCUCGGAGGCAUCUCCUGGGGGUGGAAAGAAUUUCGGUCAAGGAUGGACUCGCGGCCUAUCAGCUAGUUGGGGAGGUAAAGGCUCACCAAGGCGACGACGGGUAGCCGGCCUGAGAGGGUGACCGGCCAGAAUGGGACUGAGACACGUCCCAGACUCCUACGGGCGGCAGCAGUGGGGAAUAUUGCACAAUGGGCGCAAGCCUGAUGCAGCAACGCCGCGUGAGGGAUGACGGCCUUCGGGUUGUAAACCUCUUUUAGCAGGGAAGAAGCGAAAGUGACGGUACCUGCAGAAAAAGCACCGGCUAACUACGUGCCAGCCGCCGCGGUAA